UUUUGGUAAUGCGCCAUAGAUUGCAUUGAAGCAUUUUAACUGCCGUGUAUGAUCGAAAUAAUAAGAUAUUAUUUUGUACUACAAUCAUAAAUCUCUCUCUCUCUCUCUCUCUCGAUGGUAGGCUCUUGGCGUUCAAACAAAAUAACAACAGUUCGAAACUGUGAAUGCAUAAGUUCUGCAAUCUGCAAACGCUAAGAAGAAACAAUGACAGGUGAAAGACUUGUCGUUGUAAAGAGCGCUAGCCAGGUGUAUGUUUGAUUACGUAAGUGAAGUACCGCAGUUAGGAAAUUAAGUGUCCGACAACACUUCAGAUUGACAAAACGUGCUGUUCUAUAGUCUCAGGUGCAGUGUUCACACAGACACAUAGGUGAUGGAAAGCGAUGGAGCAAACAUUAACAGAUGGAGAAUAUUACUUCCUGGUACUUCUGAUUACACUUCCUGUCAAUUUGUUUUUCUGUCUGUGGGCUUGGCUUGGAUGGGAGCUUUUUAAAAAUAAUUAGGGCUACAUUGAAAUAAAACUAUCAUGCCAUUCAAAUUUUUUCCGAUAUUACUAGUUCAUCAAGUCCCAUAUUUCCUCUGUGCUUCCAGACUCUGUAUCGCGCCAAGUCUUUCCGUGUAACCAUACCAACCACCUGAAAUCAUUCCAUAUUAAGUCCAGAUAAUGAUCCUACUCAUUAUAGUAUCAAAUACAGAUAAUUUUUCAACUUAUGAACAGAUACAACUAGUGUGCAAACAAAAGUUUCACUUGUGACCCUAGAAGAUGCAGUUUUAUAUUAUAUUAAGUGUAUUACUGUAGUAGAGUAGCAUGUGACAGAGAGAUAUAUAUCCAACUUAAAACAACAACUUACUUCAUUGGCAUCAUUAACAACAGGCAAAUGUCUGAGCCCCAGAGCACGAAAGAGUCUGAAGACGCGAGGGAGUGAAGCUGACUGCAAGAGCUCCAGGACUUAAAGAAUGCUACUAUCACUGUGGAACUUUUCAGAAGCAAGCAGAAUACAGCCUCAUCUGAAUGUGGAAUGUGAUUCUGAACAUGGUUAUCUGUCCUAUCUCUGAAUUUACUCUUUUUCAGUUAUUUAUUAUCUGCUUUCUGUCUGUCUGUCUACCUAUGGCAGAGCUACUUGGUCAUGACAAGUUAGUAGACAGUAUACAGAAUGCCAAUUAGAAAAUUUGUAAAAUAAAAGAAUUAAUAAAAAUACAAAUUUGAGAAGUAUACAAAUAAAUAAUACAAUACAGAGAAA
Schistocerca serialis cubense is the source of this 1238-nucleotide long non-coding RNA. RefSeq lists it as uncharacterized. The record is from RefSeq and is a predicted model, not a curated record. NCBI's taxonomy places the organism in Eukaryota, Metazoa, Arthropoda, Insecta, Orthoptera, Acrididae. The transcript is spliced from 3 exons.